UCUCCGUUGGUGAACCAGCGGAGGGAUCAUUACUGAGUUCUGGGUCUAACCGACCCGACCUCCAACCCUUUGUUAUCCAACUCUGUUGCCUCGGGGGCGACCCUGACCUUCGGGUCUCGGGGCCCCCGGUGGACUAUUCAAACUCUGCGUUAAUUUGUCGUCUGAGUAUUGAUUAAAUCAAAUCAAAACUUUCAACAACGGAUCUCUUGGUUCUAGCAUCGAUGAAGAACGCAGC
RNAcentral lists this unclassified non-coding RNA (235 nucleotides) under uncultured fungus. RNAcentral describes it as "sequence contains ITS1, 5.8S rRNA gene". The stretch from base 187 to 235 matches the Rfam family "5.8S ribosomal RNA", at positions 1 to 49 of the family's 154-position model. Lineage: Eukaryota; Fungi. The record is from RNAcentral.